UUAAUUUUCAUGUAAACCAAUCGCAUAAGACUUGAGAAAAGAAUUAAAUUUAGGUUUUGAAUGCAAAGAACAAAAGUAAACAUGCAAAAUGCAGUGAAUCAAUUGGCUAGAAAAGACUAUGAAUGAAUGGAGUUGUUGGGGUUUACAAUUUCAUCUUAUCCACCCUCUUAUAUCUACUCUUCUUAUCUACUUCACUUAUUUAUCAUAUUGUCACGCAAACUUUCUUAGUCUACCCUAAACCCAAUCUCUUGGCGAAAAGAGCCUAUUACCAAUUACUGGCUUGCUAUCUCUAGCCUCCCCUAGUAACUAAUAAUGCAUGAUAAAUGGAAGCAAAAUACAAUUGAUCGUCCUACUCCUAUCUCUAGGCGGUAUUAUCAGACAUAGGGAUAGGAGGAUCGAUUGCCUUUAAGCUUUUGUGUGAAUGUAAUGCAUGAUCACUUGCUAGGGAGACAAGACAUUGUAAACUAGUAAUCAGGAAUAGGCUCUUUUCACCAAGAAAUUAGGAUUAGGGUAAAUUAGAAAGUGACAUUAACAUUAAUGAAAAAGUAGAAUUUGUAAAUAUGAGAGUGUAUUAGGAUAAGUCGAAAACCCUAACAACACAAUUCAUCCAUAACAUUCAACUUCCAAUUGAUCAACUUUUGCAUGUGCAUGUUUAAUUUUCGUUUUAGCAUUAUAAACCCUAAUUUUCUUUUGGUCGAGUCUUAAAUAAUCAAGAAAUCACACGAAAGUCUAGGCCUAUGAGUCUCUAGGAAACAAUACUUGGUCUUACGACUUAUUAUUACUUGAUACGAUUUGGUACACUUGUCAGAGUCUUAACAGACGACACUCACAUGCCUAUUCGGUGUGUUUGCUAACAGAAAAAUGCCAUUUGGAUUAUGCAAUGUGAUGGGUUGUCGCAACCCACACAAAUUUGAUGUGCAAAUAAAUGCAGUAUAGCUAGGGAAUGACCCCUAGGUCGUCUCCCAAAGACCAAUU
Molecule: long non-coding RNA, 975 nt
Filed under: Vigna radiata
Lineage: Eukaryota; Viridiplantae; Streptophyta; Magnoliopsida; Fabales; Fabaceae
Description: long non-coding RNA (VRAD_LNC017518)
Source: RNAcentral